RNAcentral lists this ribosomal RNA (320 nucleotides) under uncultured bacterium. RNAcentral describes it as "bacterial SSU rRNA". It matches the Rfam family "Bacterial small subunit ribosomal RNA", at positions 8 to 343 of the family's 1533-position model. The record is from RNAcentral.
AGAGUUUGAUCCUGGCUCAGAAUCAACGCUGGCGGCGUGCCUAACACAUGCAAGUCGAACGAGAAAGUGGAGCAAUCCAUGAGUACAGUGGCGUACGGGUGAGUAACACGUGACUACCUACCCUCGAGUGGGGAAUAACCUCGGGAAACCGGGGCUAAUACCGCAUAACAUCUACGGAUCAAAUGCGAAAGCAGCUUGAGGAGGGGGUCGCGGCCGAUUAGCUAGUUGGUGAGGUAAUGGCCCACCAAGGCAAUGAUCGGUAGCCGGCCUGAGAGGGCGCACGGCCACACUGGAACUGAAACACGGUCCAGACUCCUACG